Sarcophilus harrisii (Tasmanian devil) is the source of this 449-nucleotide long non-coding RNA. RefSeq lists it as uncharacterized. The transcript is spliced from 3 exons. Lineage: Eukaryota; Metazoa; Chordata; Mammalia; Dasyuromorphia; Dasyuridae. The record is from RefSeq and is a predicted model, not a curated record.
GGAACAACUAACUAAUCUCAUGUUCUACAAACAUGUUAGAGUCUCUCCUAUUCUAAGAAACAAAAAACAAGCAAACCAAUCAAAAGCAACUUUUUUUUACUGGGACCAUCUCUUCAAGUUAUCAUUCUAUAUUUCUACUUCUCCUUUAUUGUAUGAAGGUGACACAGCCUUCUCAAAAAUUAUGAUAGAAGAGCAUAAAUUCUGGGAAGUCCUACCAAGAUUUCAAGGAUGAUCUCAAUGAAUAAUUAUAUUUCUGUUGUUCAAGAAGUAGCUCAACUCAGAUCUUCAAGGCUCAUCCCCGUAAAAGAAGCCCUGAAUUGCCUAUUCCUGACUCCCAUGAAUAAGUCAAUCAAAAGUUACUGCUUUGAGUCAAAGAUCAUUGCAAGGCAUACAGAACUAAGAGUGAGUUUAGGGGAUGCUUCAAAAUAAAUUACAAAGUUGAAAUAGAU